This 1366-nucleotide long non-coding RNA is filed under the name Panax ginseng (ginseng). RNAcentral describes it as "long non-coding RNA (PGIN_LNC004552)". Lineage: Eukaryota; Viridiplantae; Streptophyta; Magnoliopsida; Apiales; Araliaceae. The record is from RNAcentral.
UAAGACUUGUGAUAAAAUGAUAAGUGUAGUUAGAAAUGUACAUGUUAUGAUAUGAUAGCAUAUUUAAUAGGUAUUGUGGUUCUAAACCUAUGUGUAGGUGAACGUGAGUUUGAUAUUAUAGCUUACGCUCGAGGCAAGUUUUCUAAACUUCUCUUUUUACAUUGAGCAAGUUCUUUAACUCUACAUUUACGUUAAGCAAGUUUCUUACUUUAACCAUUCAUUAAGCGAACUUUUGUAUUCCUAAUCAUUAUUUGAGCAAGCUAGCUAUGACUUUAACUUUAUUCGAACAAGUUUGAGUUCCAAUAUUUAAUGAUGCAUUCUAACUUGUUUAUUGUUAGACAAGUUUCUUUAUUGUCAUUCGGAUAUUAUGAUUGCAGUUUUCUUGAAUUCUAAUUUCUAAUGUUGAAUUAUCUUAUCUCAUUUACUUGGAACAAACUAUUCUCAUAAUGAGCAAGCUUUAUUUUCUGCUUGCUAUUAUUUAAAGUAUAAUCAAUAAUUCAUAGUUCUAGAUUAAUAUUAUUCAAGCAAGGUUUGUUGUCAUUCAAUACUUAUGCCUUGUAGUUGUUUCCAAGCAUGAGUUCAAAAUAUAGUUAGUUCGUUUACACUUAUUCAUUGUUCUAUAUUAUGUUAUUAUUGAUCAACUGUUGUGUUGGUUCACACUAUUGAUUCAACUAGUUCUCUAGUUGAUGAUCAUUAAAACUCCAAAUUACCCUUGAAAGUUUAUCCAAACCAAACUUCCUUUGGUGCAGACUUAUACUCUAAAUACUGAGAUGAACAACCAUAUUAUUAUUAGAGGAUAAUUUACGCUUAGCGUUAAAAUGUUUGUGAACAAUACAUUGUACGAAGGGCUGAUACCCCUAAGUACGAGGAGUCCUUAUAGUCUUAUUACUGUUAAAGUUGAAGUUUAAAGAUUACUUACAACUGUGGACAUAGUUCGUGGUCUUAUGACCCUCAGUUUUAUGUAUUCCCUAUUUUGAUUCCAGUCAUUGGUUAUUAUUGAUAGAGUACUAUUUAGUUCUUAAUUAGCCUAUUCCUUGGCAGUUAUUUCAUUCUUGUUGAUUCAUUGCUAUAUCUAGUGAGCAAUUGUUUUGCUCAAUCUUGCAUAUUUAUACACUCAUUGCAGCCAAAGUUGAGAAGGUGGAUGAGUCUUCAACUAGAAAAGGAAAGGGAAAAAUGUACAAGUGAUGAAGACUUGUAAUUUUAUUUAUUGUUAUGAUCAUAGACUUUUAAAUAAUGAUUUGAUGUAAUAAGUUUAUUUCCGCACUUAUAUGAUGUUUAAAGGUUAGACAACCUGAGAAGAUUUUUAUUUAAUGAUGUAACCCUAUUUAAAGGGAGGAUUUGUGGUUAAAUGUUAUUCUAUUUGGGU